UACGGGGGGGGUAAGCGUUGUUCGGAAUUACUGGGCGUAAAGGGCUCGUAGGCGGCCAACUAAGUCAUACGUGAAAUCCCUCAGCUUAACUGGGGAACUGCGUGUGAUACUGGAUGGCUUGGAUUUGGGAGAGGGAUGCGGAAUUCCAGGUGUAGCGGUGAAAUGCGUAGAUAUCUGGAGGAACACCGGUGGCGAAGGCGGCAUCCUGGACCAAUAUUGACGCUGAGGGACGAAAGCUAGGGGAGCGAACGGG
This 253-nucleotide ribosomal RNA is filed under the name uncultured bacterium. RNAcentral describes it as "partial 16S ribosomal RNA". It matches the Rfam family "Bacterial small subunit ribosomal RNA", at positions 524 to 776 of the family's 1533-position model. The record is from RNAcentral.